RNAcentral lists this ribosomal RNA (423 nucleotides) under uncultured bacterium. RNAcentral describes it as "bacterial SSU rRNA". It matches the Rfam family "Bacterial small subunit ribosomal RNA", at positions 355 to 775 of the family's 1533-position model. The record is from RNAcentral.
UGAGGAAUAUUGGUCAAUGGGCGGCAGCCUGAACCAGCCAUCCCGCGUGAAGGAAGAAUGCGCUAUGCGUUGUAAACUUCUUUUUCAGGGGGAUAAAAUUUUGUAUGUAUACAGAACUGAAGGUACCCUGAGAAUAAGCAUCGGCUAACUCCGUGCCAGCAGCCGCGGUAAUACGGAGGAUGCGAGCGUUAUCCGGAUUUAUUGGGUUUAAAGGGUGCGUAGGCGGAAGAAUAAGUCAGUGGUGAAACCCUGCAGCUUAACUGUAGACUUGCCAUUGAUACUGUUUUUCUUGAGUAUGGUCAAGGCAGGCGGAAUGUGUAAUGUAGCGGUGAAAUGCUUAGAUAUUACACAGAACACCGAUAGCGAAGGCAACUUGCUGGGCCGUUACUGACGCUGAUGCACGAAAGCGUGGGGAUCGAACAG